Molecule: transfer RNA, 86 nt
Filed under: Fidelibacterota bacterium
Lineage: Bacteria; Pseudomonadati; Fidelibacterota
Description: Candidatus Marinimicrobia bacterium tRNA-Leu
Rfam family: tRNA
About the family: Transfer RNA (tRNA) molecules are approximately 80 nucleotides in length. Their secondary structure includes four short double-helical elements and three loops (D, anti-codon, and T loops).
Source: RNAcentral
ACCGGGGUGGUGGAAUUGGCAGACACGCCAGAUUUAGGAUCUGGUGCCCACAAGGCGUGAGGGUUCGAGUCCCUUCCCCGGUACAA